GACCUCGGAUCAGGUAGGAAUACCCGCUGAACUUAAGCAUAUCAAUAAGCCGGAGG
This 56-nucleotide ribosomal RNA is filed under the name Tolypocladium ophioglossoides. RNAcentral's name for it is "partial 28S ribosomal RNA". The record is from RNAcentral. Lineage: Eukaryota; Fungi; Ascomycota; Sordariomycetes; Hypocreales; Ophiocordycipitaceae.